RNAcentral lists this long non-coding RNA (2340 nucleotides) under Triticum aestivum (bread wheat). Its description in RNAcentral is "long non-coding RNA (TAES_LNC007208)". The record is from RNAcentral. Lineage: Eukaryota; Viridiplantae; Streptophyta; Magnoliopsida; Poales; Poaceae.
UUGUACAGGAAACCCUAACUCCAAUAGAAUACAAUACCAGGCCAUCUUUCUAUCCCAGCCGCCACCCCUCUCUCCCCUCAUUCUACAGGAUCUCCCAUAAACAGGGGGGAAAAGUUAACAAAACAACCAACAAUACUGGUGCCAGGACUCGACAAACGAAAUUCCACAUGCUCAGGAUCUUGACAUCAAUCGCCUGAGGUGUACCCACCCAGUCACCGCUUCAGUAAUCCUUUUCUCAAUGUUGCUUAGCCAGGAAACUUUUGCAAGGAACAGUUUUGCAAGGAACAACAUUGCAUGUAAAUCACAAACAUAUAUCUACUAAAAACUAGUGUUGUUUCCUCCCUGCUCAUUUUGAUUUGCUGUUAGUAUCCAAGUAACAAAGAGAUGUAUGGUCAGUGGCAUUUGGUUAGCCACUGACCCACAACUUGUUUAGUUCUCUGAUCUAAACCCUCUCAGUAGCAUACUCAUCCAGAGGUACACCACAGCUCCAACUUGAGCAAAUGAAACUGAGCUUAUGCUUAAACGAUGGAAUGAGAUGAAAUAAAAGGGAGAGAAGUGAACAUGAGGCUAUAAGAUGAUCCCCAAGUUUCAACUUAGAUGUCUGUUCCUGUUACAUGAGAUCUCCGUAAGUUAUAUAUAUAUGCUACCAACUGUAGAAAACAAGUACUUAUUAUGUUGAAAAAUUCAGUCCAACCAUUCGUGUAUAUGGAUUUUUUAAUGACCAUCAGGCAAGACACUUGCACUGCUGUAUAAUGGUAUCAUGUUUCAGGCAAGGGGCUAGAUCUAACGGCUGCAGGAGGGGACAACACAGACACCAUUUCCUUGCAUCACGAAUAAAUGGGCCAAGGAGACACAAGCAACCCAGAGGCCACACUCGUAUCAAAAAAUAAGACGGUUAGCAGAGGGAAAAGAACUUCAAAAAGGAAACAAAAAUAGGCAAUCCAAAAGGAGAAAAAUGACUGCAUGUCACAAAGCAGUAUAUCACACAUAGAAGAGCAAACAAUAACUGAUCCCGCGGAGAGCAAACAAUAACUGAACAAUAUACACACAUAUAAUAAGGUAGGGUUCACUUCAUAAUAUAGGGGAGUUUUUUUUUUGUUUUGCUUUAACACAGCCACUCGAGCAGUCAAAGACUAUAGUUUUAAAGCAUGCAUAAUAAGAAGCAUUCAGUUACAGGAAAGCGUUCAUGAACCCACACUAGGCCGAGCUCCAAAAAACUCUCGCCGAGGCACUCGACCAGAACCAUCCCCAGGAUGCUCAAGCUCCACCCAGCAAGGGCAGAGCCAUCUUCUACGACCUCACACAGGUGCAAAACGGAUGGCAAAGCGCACUCGGCCACCACAGCCUCCAAAAUGGGAAUACAACCCAAACAAACGCACACAUCUUGCUGGCAUGCAAGAACGAAAUAUAUAAUAAAGUACACGACACCCGGCCAUGUCCAGAACAUACACUAAAACGAUUAGGAGGCUAUAGAACAUGAAAGCACACACAGAAAGUAGAGCAGCAAGACAGACAGAGAUCACAACAGCAAACCUUGACGCGGCCCAACAAGCAGAAUGAAGAUGCGGCGAUGAGCUAAACGGAGAUUCUGCACCAAAUCAGCAAGAUGGAACAACAUGUAAAAUAGAAAGGGAAACAAUCAAUAUAGAACAACGGCAUGCAAAUGCAACUAUAUAGGAACUAUAAAAAACAAACCAAGUGUACCGAAAGAUAAAAAGAUCACACGCCAUCGUCAAAUAACCAGUCCAUAAAGAUCAUUAGUACAUAAGAGAUCAGAACACAGGAGAAAGCAACGAGCACUGAAAGCACACUGUGCUGCAACGGUAUUCCAAAAGAGGCGCAACGAUCGAAACAAAAGCAUCAGCGUCAGCAUAUCCUCAAUCCUCGUGCAUUUCAUCAAACACCUAACAGGCAUGCACCGAUAGAGAAGCAGAGGAGGCGCGCACUAACCUGGACAGCAAGGACAGAAUGACCCAGGCUCCUACGAAGGAGCCAACGCGAAAUCCAACAAAGCUGCGCAUGAAGGGAGCAAAUAGAAACAGACCAGAUCAGCAAAUCGUUGAAACAACGAACAACGGCAGGAAAGAACCGGAGGAGCAGAAUAGAAAGAACCUCAACCAACAGCACCAAUGGAGGAACGGAUGGCCAUGGUACAGAGCUGGAGGACAGGGCGUUCGAACAAGACGGAGCGAGGCGACGAAGAGAGCGUGCAGCGAGUGGGCGAAGCGAGCGUGCACAGAAUGAGAAGCAGAAGAAGAAGAAAUGGGGGAAAUCGAGGAGAAAAGGAGGCCCUUGCCCACCGCAACGACACGCCCAACUCGCACAGAGCGGCACUGGAAC